UGCCUUUCAGCUGGGUUAUCUUUCUGUUU
RNAcentral lists this non-coding RNA (29 nucleotides) under Rattus norvegicus (Norway rat). The record is from RNAcentral. Lineage: Eukaryota; Metazoa; Chordata; Mammalia; Rodentia; Muridae.